This 496-nucleotide ribosomal RNA is filed under the name uncultured bacterium. RNAcentral describes it as "partial 16S ribosomal RNA". It matches the Rfam family "Bacterial small subunit ribosomal RNA", at positions 28 to 506 of the family's 1533-position model. The record is from RNAcentral.
GAUGAACGCUGGCGGCGUGCCUAAUACAUGCAAGUCGAGCGAACAGACGAGGAGCUUGCUCCUCUGACGUUAGCGGCGGACGGGUGAGUAACACGUGGAUAACCUACCUAUAAGACUGGGAUAACUUCGGGAAACCGGAGCUAAUACCGGAUAAUAUAUUGAACCGCAUGGUUCAAUAGUGAAAGACGGUUUUGCUGUCACUUAUAGAUGGAUCCGCGCCGCAUUAGCUAGUUGGUAAGGUAACGGCUUACCAAGGCAACGAUGCGUAGCCGACCUGAGAGGGGGAUCGGCACCACUGGAACUGGGACACGGGCCAGCCUCCUACGGGAGGAAGCAGGAGGGAAUUUUCCGGAAUGGGCGAAAGCCUGACGGGGCAACGCCGCGUGAGUGAUGAAGGUCUUCGGAUCGUAAAACUCUUUUAUUAGGGAAAAACAAAUGGGUAAGUAACUAUGCACGUCUUGACGGUACCUAAUCAGAAAGCCACGGCUAACUACGU